Molecule: long non-coding RNA, 298 nt
Organism: Hibiscus syriacus
Lineage: Eukaryota; Viridiplantae; Streptophyta; Magnoliopsida; Malvales; Malvaceae
Exons: 2
Source: RefSeq, a predicted model, not a curated record
AGAUUAUGCAUCACUCAUCCUUCAAUUAAUAAUCCAAAAUGAAAGGAUUGUUUUUUAUAAUAUGCAUUCUCUUGGCUUCCAUUCUCGCUUUCCCCGCUUCCACCAUGGCUCGCCAACUGGCUGACAAGGCGGCAAUUCCAUCUCCAACUGCAUGUUCACGUGAUCCUACUCGGAGCUGCACUCCAGUGAGACCUCCUAACUGCCCUAUUUACAUUCGAAAUUGCCAUGGAGGAACCCCUUAGAAUACCAUUAUGCUUUUGGAAUAUCACGUCUAAUAAAGUUGCUAGUUCUUCUGUUU